GGCACACAUGAGCAAGUCAUCUUCAAGUCCACAAGUCUACCAACUUCAUCCAUAGCCUUCUCUACCGCAUUAGAAAAGUUCUUUGAGCUACUCUGCUUUGACAUCUCCAAAAAAUUAUCACCUAAAGGCUUCAACUGAGAUGUAUUGCACCAAGCAAAUGUCCCAUCUCCAAAGUAAGCCACAAGAAUCUUAUCCCGUGGUUUAACUUUUUUGGCAUAAUCAGAUGCAUCCAAUGGAUCAUAAAUCCGCCCUGGCCACCAAGGGUGACUUCUAAUCUUGGCCCAAACAAAAUCACCAACCCUAAAUUCAUGCUCUUCAUCUCCCAUAUUAUCCU
This 334-nucleotide unclassified non-coding RNA is filed under the name Hevea brasiliensis (rubber tree). Lineage: Eukaryota; Viridiplantae; Streptophyta; Magnoliopsida; Malpighiales; Euphorbiaceae. The record is from RNAcentral.